UACCGCCAGGACUUGGAGGCUGGCUCUGGGCAAUCUGCUCGAGCCUCAUGUCCUCUUGGUUUUAGGUCUUUGGAAAAUUCUUCUCCGUCGGGCAGAGAAGAUCCUUCGUACAGACAGCAUUGCUGGCCAUCCACGACCCCCUGCUGCGUGUCAGCCAGGCUGGGCUGGUGCUGGUCUACUCCCUCCUGGGGGAAGCCCAGCAACUGAUGGGGGACACACAUGAGGAUGUCACAGCCAAGGUCAUGGGCCAGCUUCACAUGAUUCGGCACUUGCGCCAGAUGCCCGAGGUGCUGCAAGGGCUGUGGCUCAUCUGAUGCUCUUCAAGGUUCCCCUCCCUGUUCAGCAAGUCCCACUCCCUGCUGCAGACCCUCUGUUCUCCUUCUGGGGUGCCUGGACCCUGAUUGUAACAUCUCUCUGGCCCAGCCUCUUACACAGAUGUGUGCUGCAGCCAGCCCAGCGCAGGGAGCAGUGGGUACAGAUGAUCUCCUCCUGUCAGACCAAGCAACAGGGGUCCCCUUGAGGCUUAGAUGGAAGAUCCCAGGCAUCUCCUGGAGAGGAUGCCCCUGGAGACUGUUUCGUGCAGGAGGUUUGAGCGGGGAGAGAUCACUCACUGUCCUGACCCAUGGGUCAUUAACCCGGGUCUGCAGGGUUCCUGGGAGCAGCCACCCUCCAGCACGCCACAUGGAAGCCUACGAAAAACUGCUUACCUAGGACUGACGAAGUCCAGACCCAGUUUGAGGCUCCUAUUGGCAGAGUCCCAGAGCAGCUAAUCGGCCCCCGGGACCUCCUUAAACCAGCAGCAGGAAGAAGAAGCUGUCUGAACAGCCGAGCUCCUCCCCGGCUCUGGACCGUGUGUUGGCUGUUCCUGCUCCCACUCCCCAGGCUUGAUUUCCUGGCAUCCGGACUCAGGGUGACUCACCUGACUUGAGGUUCUGAACACAAUUUGGUCUUUUGCUUCUGCUCUUCCAGUGUCCUGACCCAGCUGACUCUCGACUCCUGUCUUGUGAGUGUGGACUCUGCCUCUGACCACUAGGUCUGGCUGCCCAUGACCCAGCCAUGACACUUGACUUUUCUACAAUUCCUCCAGUGCCCUUUU
Molecule: non-coding RNA, 1096 nt
Organism: Caretta caretta (loggerhead turtle)
Lineage: Eukaryota; Metazoa; Chordata; Testudines; Cheloniidae
Source: RefSeq, a predicted model, not a curated record